Molecule: long non-coding RNA, 1862 nt
Organism: Bombus impatiens (common eastern bumble bee)
Lineage: Eukaryota; Metazoa; Arthropoda; Insecta; Hymenoptera; Apidae
Exons: 2
Source: RefSeq, a predicted model, not a curated record
AGUCUGUUACGUGUCUGUCUUGUUGUCCAGUUUUUCAACGAGUUUUAUAACCAGUUCCUUGUGUACUUCUGUGCUCCGCCGUACCUUAGCUGUCCGCAUCUACUGUGAAAGAUUAAACACCAGCGACACCGAGAUACGGAACGCGCGUGAAUCUUUCUUUCUCUCUUUUCUUUUCCCAACUUCUUUUUAACUGUAAUGUUUGUCGCCAGAGAUCGAUAGAUCUUCGUUCAACGAAGAAAUAUCGAGUUCGCGGAGUUUGUCGCGUUUCCUAGUUCCUUCGAGAUGGUUGUUUCUCUCGUGUUUGUAUGCACGUGUUGCAAAAAGUUCGAUGCGAAAUGGAGAAUGAUGUCGUUCGACAUUUUUCACCGUCCAACGAAACGCGAAAUUUAUCGGUAGUAAAAGUGUGUUCUGAACACGCUUUUAAAAUCCAAAAGUAAAUAACUACAAAAUGAAUCUAACAAUAGGAAUGUGGAAAAUAUUAUCAUUAUUAUCGACAGGUGUUAUUAAUACGUCUUUAUUACACUGUAGCAGUUAUAUAAAGAAUGUAACCUUCUAUAACUUCGUGUACCUUGGAACAUGAACAUAUUUCUAUUAUCUAUAUGCUUUAAAUCUUGUUUUAUUAUCGCUUUAUUAUUGUACUUUAUAUAUUGCAUAAUUAUGAAAAUCAAAGCAGAAAACUGCGGUCGACUACACAAUAUUCCUAUUUCUCGUGACCAAAGAAAAUUCCAGCCAUAUAGAAAAUUAAUAAAAGUAUAUCAACGUAGAUGCAUUAUUAGUCACGAAAACAUGAAAAUACAUACGAACAACGAACAAGUACUUGCGAAAGUAGCUUACAAAAUUUAGAAUAGCGAACAAACGACGAAUAAUGAAACUUCCUUAAUCGAAAUCUUUGAUACGAUCGUACCAGAAAAUAAAUACAAGAUUCUACAACCACUCUGAACGAAAGUAACGCAAUUCUAAUAAAUUUAUCGCGUUCCGCGGUUCUACCAGAGAAAACUAGGAAAGCAGUACUGACGGCGAAAUUUCCACUCGCGACUGCUCGCAGCGUAAUAACGCGGCGUUAUAUAUCUAAAAAGCAUAUAACCGGCUGAAAGUUGCGUUAAAAUUUCCAAAUAAGGUUUGUUGUUAAACGGUUUCAACGAGUAACAGGUGCACAACCUACAUUCGCGGUAUUUACGCUGCGUUGGCCUCCAGAAAUCUCUGUUGGAAAAUGACACAUAGCGGAUUAUGCGAGAUGAUGUUUACGAUCUCGUAACUCUGUAACAUCAAUCUCGUCGAAUAAAAAAGAAUUCCAUGCUUCUCUCAGCGUUGUUCGACGAUAUCGAUUUUAAGGGCGAGAUCGAGUCGAGAUUGAUAGGAAAUACUGGAACCGAUCCUACGAAAACUCUCGGUUAUCUGCCGAUAUCUAACGUUCACGAUGACACACAUACUUACGUCUCUGGAUGCUUGUGAUUUAAAUGGAUCAAUGAGAUGCGCUUGGCGAAACGGCAGGAGCCAAGCUUUUCUCAUUUCUGCACCAUAGACGUUGGCAUUGCGACGAAGACGACGCGAGGGUGCAUUUAGGAUUGGCGCAUCGCCAACAGGUCCUUCGGGAGAUUUGCACUAUACGUUAUACCUAUACGUAUGUAUCUGUACACGUAAUAUCGUCAUCGUCAUAUACGUAAAUCCGAAAACGUUAAGCCGUUUGUCGAGAGAUCAGGUAUGCGCAUUUCGUUUGAUUUCCAUCGAACGUAUGAUGAAAAGGAAAAGGAACGAAAUAGUCGGUAGAGCAUCUAGUCGCCCGUUAAACCGCACAGCGUGUGGAAAUUGCGAUUAGCGAUAAAAGUGGGAAAUAACGAGGCAAGGAAAAUCGUCAUCAAGCU